Clupea harengus (Atlantic herring) is the source of this 313-nucleotide long non-coding RNA. NCBI's taxonomy places the organism in Eukaryota, Metazoa, Chordata, Actinopteri, Clupeiformes, Clupeidae. The record is from Ensembl.
ACAGGUUCAAAGAGAAGGUUUCAGACAUGCACCACGAUCACAGGUUCAAAGAGAAGGUUUCAGACAUGCACCACGAUCACAGAUUCAAAGAGAAGGUUUCAGACAAGCACCACGAUCACAGAUUCAAAGAGAAGGUUUCAGACAUGCACCACGAUCACAGAUUCAAAGAGAAGGUUUCAGACAUGCACCACGAUCACAGAUUCAAAGAGAAGGUUUCAGACAUGCACCACGAUCACAGGUUCAAAGAGAAGGUUUCAGACAUGCACCACGAUCACAGAUUCAAAGAGAAGGUUUCAGACAAGCACCACGAUCA